This 2786-nucleotide ribosomal RNA is filed under the name human gut metagenome. RNAcentral describes it as "bacterial LSU rRNA". It matches the Rfam family "Bacterial large subunit ribosomal RNA". The record is from RNAcentral.
AGGGCAGACGGUGGAUGCCUUGGCUCUCGGAGGCGAUGAAGGACGUGAUAAGCUGCGAUAAGCUUGGGGUAGGUGCAAAUAACCUUUGAUCCCAAGAUUUCCGAAUGGGGCAACCCGGCUGGUAGAAGGCCAGUCAUUCCGUAAGGAAGGCGAACGUGGGGAACUGAAACAUCUAAGUACCCAUAGGAGAAGAAAACAAAAGUGAUUCCGCAAGUAGUGGCGAGCGAACGCGGAACAGCCCAAACCGAUGAUGUUUAGGCAUUGUCGGGGUAGUAGGACCACGUUGUGGCAAGAGAUUAAGGAAGUAGAACGUUUUGGAACAAACGGCCGUAGACGGUGAAAGCCCGGUAUACGACUCUUUAACGAAGCCUAGUGGAAUCCUGAGUAGCGCGGAGCACGAGAAAUUCUGUGUGAAUCAGCGGGGCCCAUCCCGUAAGGCUAAAUACUCCCGAGAGACCGAUAGCGAACCAGUACUGUGAAGGAAAGGUGAAAAGCACUUCGAAUAGAAGAGUGAAAUAGUCCCUGAAACCGUGCGCCUACAAGCGGUCGGAGCUGUGUAAACAGUGACGGCGUGCCUUUUGCAUAAUGAACCUACGAGUUACUUUUUCCGGCAAGGUUAAGGGUCUUGAGACCUGCAGCCGAAGCGAAAGCGAGUCUUAACAGGGCGUUCAGUCGGAAGGAGUAGACGCGAAACCAAGUGAUCUACCCUUGGGCAGGUUGAAGGAUGGGUAACACCAUCUGGAGGACCGAACCAAUAAGCGUUGAAAAGCUUCUGGAUGACCUGAGGGUGGGGGUGAAAGGCUAAUCAAACUUGGAGAUAGCUCGUACUCCCCGAAAUGCAUUUAGGUGCAGCCUUGCGGGUUACUGAUGUGAGGUAGAGCGACUGAUAAGAUGCGAGGGCUUCACCGCCUAUCAAGUCUUGACAAACUCCGAAUGCGUGUCAGUUCUAUGUCAGGAGUGAGGGCAUGGGUGCUAAGGUCCAUGUCCUAAAGGAGAACAAUCCGGACCAACAGCUAAGGUCCCGAAAUGAAUACUAAGUUGAACUAACGAAGUCAGAUUGCUAAGACAGCUAGGAUGUUGGCUUGGAAGCAGCCAUUCAUUUAAAGAGUGCGUAACAGCUCACUAGUCGAGGAGUUUUGCAUGGAUAAUAAUCGGGCAUAAGCCCUUUACCGAAGCUGUGGAUGUCGUAAGACAUGGUAGGGGAGCAUUCCGGCGGCGACGAAGGCCGUCCUCGAGGACGACUGGAGCUUUCGGAAAAGCAAAUGUAGGUAUAAGUAACGAUAAAGGGGGCGUGAAACCCCCUCGCCAUAAGACUAAGGAUUCCUGAUCAACGCUAAUCGGAUCAGGGUAAGUCGGGCCCUAAGGCGCAGCCGAACGGCGUAGCCGAUGGAAGAAACGGUAAAGAUUCCGUUACUGGAUAUAGGAGCGAUGUGGAGACGGAGAAGUGACACACCCGCCUGCCGACGGAAGCGCAGGUUAAAGGAAGUAGGUAAACGCCGGGUAGGCAAAUCCGCCCAGCGUGCCGAAGCUGACAGUAUCGAGAGCCCCCGGGCAAUCGAAUAGCGGUGGUAAUCAGGCUCCCAAGAAAAUCCGCUAAGCAUAUUCUAUAUUCACCCGUACCCCAAACGGACACACGUAGUCGGGUAGAAUAUACCAAGGCGCUCGAAAGACUCACGGUUAAGGAACUAGGCAAAUUGACCCUGUAACCUCGGGAAAAAGGGUCCCCAGUAAGAUGGGGCGCAGAGAAUAGGUCCAGGCAACUGUUUAACAAAAACACAGGGCUGUGCGAAAUUUCAAGAUGAAGUAUACAGCCUGACACCUGCCCGGUGCCGGAAGGUUAAGAGGAGAGCUUAUCGCAAGAGAAGGCUUGAAUUGAAGCCCCGGUAAACGGCGGCCGUAACUAUAACGGUCCUAAGGUAGCGAAAUUCCUUGUCAGGUAAGUUCUGACCCGCACGAAUGGCGUAAUGAUUUGGGCACUGUCUCAACAGCCCGCCCGGCGAAAUUGUAGUACUGGUGAAGAUGCCAGUUACCCGCAACUAGACGGAAAGACCCCAUGGAGCUUUACUGCAGUUUAAUACUGGGAAUCGGUAAUUCAUGUACAGGAUAGGUGGGAGACUGAGAAGCAUGGCCGUCAGGUCGUGUGGAGUCACCGGUGGGAUACCACUCUUGGAUUGCUGGUUUCCUAACCUGCGGCCCUGAAUCGGGUCGGGGGACACUGUUAGACGGGCAGUUUGACUGGGGCGGUCGCCUCCAAAAGAGUAACGGAGGCGCUCAAAGGUUCGUUCAGCACGGACGGAAAUCGUGCAUUGAGUGUAAACGCAUAAACGAGCCUAACUGCGAGACCGACGGGUCGAGCAGUAACGAAAGUUGGAGUUAGUGAUCCGGUGGUAUGUGAGUGGAAAUGCCAUCGCUCAACGGAUAAAAGUUACCCUGGGGAUAACAGGCUGAUCUCCCCCAAGAGUCCACAUCGACGGGGAGGUUUGGCACCUCGAUGUCGGCUCAUCGCAUCCUGGGGCUGUAUUCGGUCCCAAGGGUUUGGCUGUUCGCCAAUUAAAGCGGCACGCGAGCUGGGUUCAGAACGUCGUGAGACAGUUCGGUCCCUAUCUGUUGCGGGCGUAAGAGAUUUGAAGGGAGCUGUCCUUAGUACGAGAGGACCGGGAUGGACGUACCUCUGGUGCACCAGUUGUCCUGCCAAGGGCAUAGCUGGGUAGCUAUGUACGGACGAGAUAAACGCUGAAAGCAUCUAAGCGUGAAACUCCCCCUAAGAUGAGAUCUCUCAUCCUUUA